GGGGAGGGAGGUGUGGAAGCCGGUUUGCCGGGGCCACCCAGUGUGGGCUCAGGAAGGGAAGGAAUGUGACCGAGGCCGGGUGUGGCUGAGGGGAGUGCAGCCAGUUGUGGGUUUUUCUUGGGGCCCAGAUGGACGUGAGCAGAGACGGAGCCCCGCACCCUCGGCCCCUGCCACACACACUAGGACCCUUCUUCA
Long non-coding RNA from Camelus ferus (Wild Bactrian camel), 195 nucleotides. It matches the Rfam family "KCNQ1 overlapping transcript 1 conserved region 2". The record is from Rfam. NCBI's taxonomy places the organism in Eukaryota, Metazoa, Chordata, Mammalia, Artiodactyla, Camelidae.